RNAcentral lists this ribosomal RNA (197 nucleotides) under uncultured bacterium. Its description in RNAcentral is "partial 16S ribosomal RNA". It matches the Rfam family "Bacterial small subunit ribosomal RNA", at positions 328 to 539 of the family's 1533-position model. The record is from RNAcentral.
ACGCUCGACACCUACGGAGGCAGCAGUGGGGAAUAUUGCACAAUGGGGGAAACCCUGAUGCAGCAACGCCGCGUGAAGGAAGACGGUUUUCGGAUUGUAAACUUCUGUUCUUAGUGAAGAUAGUGACGGUAGCUAAGGAGCAAGCCACGGCUAACUACGUGCCGGCAGCCGCGGUAAUCUGAGCGGGCUGGCAAGGC